Molecule: ribosomal RNA, 497 nt
Filed under: uncultured bacterium
Lineage: Bacteria
Description: partial 16S ribosomal RNA
Rfam family: Bacterial small subunit ribosomal RNA
Source: RNAcentral
GACGAACGCUGGCGGCGUGCCUAAUACAUGCAAGUUGAGCGAUGAAGAUUGGUGCUUGCACCAAUUUGAAGAGCAGCGAACGGGUGAGUAACGCGUGGGGAAUCUGCCUUUGAGCGGGGGACAACAUUUGGAAACGAAUGCUAAUACCGCAUAACAACUUUAAACAUAAGUUUUAAGUUUGAUAGAUGCAAUUGCAUCACUCAAAGAUGAUCCCGCGUUGUAUUAGCUAGUUGGUGAGGUAAAGGCUCACCAAGGCGAUGAUACAUAGCCGACCUGAGAGGGUGAUCGGCCACAUUGGGACUGAGACACGGCCCAAACUCCUACGGGAGGCAGCAGUAGGGAAUCUUCGGCAAUGGACGAAAGUCUGACCGAGCAACGCCGCGGGAGUGAAGAAGGGUUUCGGAUCGUAAAACUCUGUUGGUAGAGAAGAACGUUGGUGAGAGUGGAAAGCUCAUCAAGUGACGGUAACUACCCAGAAAGGGACGGCUAACUACGUG